This 304-nucleotide microRNA precursor is filed under the name Gossypium raimondii (Peruvian cotton). RNAcentral's name for it is "miR7584e stem-loop (gra-MIR7584e)". Lineage: Eukaryota; Viridiplantae; Streptophyta; Magnoliopsida; Malvales; Malvaceae. The record is from miRBase by way of RNAcentral.
ACUCUGUAUUAGGAGUUAGAUUGUAUUUUAUCCCAUUUACACAAAAAAAUAGGCAAAUUGAUUUUUCUACGUUAGAUAAAAAAGUAAAUUGAUCUUUCAAUUAAAAAUUUCAUACAUUUUUGCUAUUAAAAAUUGGUUUUUGUACCUUAAAAUGAGACACAUUGCGUGUAACUAUCUAGUUAUUUUAUCUAUUAUGCCAAUUUUUAAUAGAAAUGAUCAAUUUGUUUUGAGAUCUAACGAAAAAGAUAAAUUUAUUUAUUUUUUAUAAACGAAAAAAAAUACAAUUUAACUUUUAGUAUAAAGG